UGUCUUCCCCAGCAACAGGCUCGAUGUGACAGCAUCGUCCUUUGUAACGAUCAAGACUGGUAAGUCCAUCAGUCCAAACAGUUGUCCAUGUACCAGUAGAAGAUUCGGCAGCUACUGCAGCCCCUGCUUCUUCGGGCGGAACCCCAGGCUGAGGACUUACUCGGAAUGCUGCCAAGAUAUCAGUAUCCUUAGUUUCAUACUCUAGGGUGUAGUAAGUCAAUUUAUAAUCUUUAACACCAGCUUUAAAUCCAACACCUGCUUUAGUUUCUGUUUGUGGUGACAUAAGUCCCUCCCUAUAACUCUUGAAUUAAGAAUUCUCACAAUAACAGGGUCUACUCGAUGUUAAUUAGGCGUAAAUGAAACUUUAGCAAAAAUCUCGUAAAACAAAAAGGAUAUUCAAUUAAUAUAAUAUCAACUCAUUAAAGAAAAUUGAGGGCAUGCUUAGGUUAAUGAAUAUGUUUCAUUCAUAUAUAAUGCGUACACCCUGUGUAUGUUCUAUCCUAUAGGAAUUCCACUAUAGGAAUUCGAUAGGAAUUGAGUUGUUGUUAUGGUAAGNNNNNNNNNNGGGGGGGGGUAGUCCUAUGCAUUGUGCAUGGUUUACUUAAAUAAAACUUAAAAAUAGAGUGAAUAACCAAGAUUUCUCGCCGACACUCUAAUAAAAAAGAAAUCUAUUCAAUGAAUAGGAUAAGAUCCAUUGAGUUCUCUUCGCAUUCCUUUGUGAAAGAGUAGAAUGAGAAAGCUAAUGAAUCUUAAACCCAUCCAAAUGGGAUAAGAGAAUUCUUAUUAGUCUCUUUCUUUAUCUCAAUUGAAGAAGUAGUUGGAAAAUAAAACAGCAAGUACAAAAAUGAGUAAUAAACCCCAGUAUAGACUGGUACGAUUCAGCGGAAGUUGCGGGUUCGAGCCCCGUCAGUCCCGAACUAGGGUUGAAUGAAUGGAGAAAUUGAUAUUUCCUUUUUCCAUGAAAAAAAGGGGCAGGGAGCAAGAUCAAAUACCCACAGGGCACCCUUAUGAGCCUCGUGGAGAAGCAAUCGCUAGUCCAUGGGGCUCAUACUUCAGCGCUGCAGCGCUUGGUACUCGGACCUCGGCUCGAGGCAUUUUCUCUACCCCUUCUUACCCUGAAAAAGCAGGGUCACCUUGUGUCCUUAAACCUAUAACCAUCUUUCGGCUGUGUAUGAAUCACUCACCUAUUCUUCCGAAUUAUAUGUAUCUGCGAGAUUAAUUUUUGGUUUCGAUGUGCAAAAACAAAUGAAAUGAAAAUGAAUUGAUAAAACAUUCCUAAAAAAAUUCUGUCACUUAUACUUUAUGUUAUGAUAUUCUAAUCAGAUUGGAUGGCAAAGAGUAAAGAAGGCAAUGCUUUUUUUUCAUUUUUGAUCUGUAAAUGGAGUUGUUAAUGAAUAUGCUUCAUUCGCUGACUCUAUUCCAUUCCCUGACCUUCUUUCUCCAAUCUUGGAUUAGGGAAGAAGGAGAUAUUCGUGACUACUGGCGAUUUCAUUAUGGGGCAGCUCAUGAUCUUAGGAAUUCUUCUAUAAUUUAAAUGACUCAAUAAAAGCUUUUUUUUAUUCUUUUAGUUACUGAUUAUUAUUUUUGGAUUUCACUCCACCCGUGGUUGGGAACUAGUAAUUCGUUGGGUCUACAACGAUUUUGGAUGGGCUCCUAACGAGCUUAUUUUCACUAUUUUUGUUUGUAGUUUUCCAGUAAUUCUAGAUACAUGUUUGAAAUUUUGGGUCGUGGCAAUUCCACCCAGAAGGUAAUGGGUUACUCCUACAGCGCGUCCUUGUAUAAUGCUCAAGGCUCUAGGCUGAGUAGCAGGAGCAACUUUUAAUUUGUUAUGAGCCCAAACGAUAGAUUCAAUGAGUUCUUGCCAAUAACCACGGCCGCUGGUUUCAUGUUACGCCAAUUUGAAUUUGCUCGGUCUGUUCAAUUGCGGCCUUAUAAUGCAAUCUCAUUAUCUGGUCCAAUUGCUGUUUUUGUAAUCGAUCUUAUUGCAAAACCAAUGUCUUACUUCAUAGAUUCGAGAGAAUAGGAGAACAGUAGCCUGACAAACAGUCGGUUCAGUCCGAUUCAGGUGCCAAUCUGAUAUUAUAGUGCCAGUGUAGAUAGAAAUUCCCUUAUGAUCUAAUUCUGAGCGGUAGUAAAUACCAGGACGUAGCAAUAUUUGAUUGAUCACAAUUCGGUGUCUUCCCCAGCAACAGGCUCGAUGUGAUAGCAUCGUCCUUUGUAACGAUCAAGACCGGUAAUUCCAUCAGUCCAAACAGUUGUCCAUGUACCAGUAGAAGAUUCGGCAGCUACUGCAGCCCCUGCUUCUUCGGGCAGAGGGAAUUUCCGGUGGAGCGGUGAAAUGCAUGGAGAUCGGAAAGAACACCAACGGCGAAGACUUAAAGAUAUUUUGGAGGCUCACAAGGGCCCAUUUACAGGACAAGGCGACCUUCAACAAAAGGGUACCUGUACCCGAAACCGACACAGGAGGGUAGGUAGAGAAUACCUAGGGGCGCGAGACAACUCUCUCUAAGGAACUCGGCAAAAUAGCCCCGUAACUUCGGGAGAAGGGGUGCCCCCUCACAAAAGGGGGCCGCAGUGACCAGGCCCGGGCGACUGUUUACCAAAAACACAGGUCUCCGCAAAGUCGUAAGGGAAUCCAUCAAAAUAAUUCAAUAAGCUGUAGAAAAAAUUCCUGGAGGACCUUAUGAGAAUUUAGAAGUCCGACGCUUUAAGAAAGAAAAGAAUUCUGAAUGGAAUGAUUUUGAUUAUAAAUUUCUUGGUAAAAAACCUUCGCCCGGACUUUGUAUCGACUAAAGUAUAUACUUCGACUUUCAUGCGCUAGAACUUUAGCUCGUAAACAUAAAAGCACGGUGCGAACUUUUAUGCAACGAUUGGGGGUCGUCUCGGAGGAAAAGAAAUUGCACGCGCCGAAUCUAUUAAAAAGGGUAGACUUCCCCUCCAAACAAUUCGCGCUAAAAUUGAUUAUUGCUGCUAUCCAAUUCGGACUAUCUAUGGAGUAUUAGGGUGUUAAAGAUUAUAAAUUGACUUACUACACCCCAGAGUAUGAAACUAAGGAUACUGAUAUCUUGGCAGCAUUCCGAGUAAGUCCUCAGCCUGGGGUUCCGCCCGAAGAAGCAGGGGCUGCAGUAGCUGCCGAAUCUUCUACUGGUACAUGGACAACUGUUUGGACUGAUGGACUUACCAGUCUUGAUCGUUACAAAGGACGAUGCUAUCACAUCGAGCCUGUUGUUGGGGGGUUCUUCUCCUACCAGUAUCGAAUAGAACAUGCUGAACAAGAUCUUCUUCAUGGAAACCUGCUCGAUUUAGAUCGGGAAAAUCGUACAGAUUUUAUGAAACCAUGUGCGAUGGCUCAAAUCCAUAGUCAAUCCUACUUUCGAUAGGACCAGUUGACAAUUGAAUGGGAGCAGCCUAAACCGUGAAAACAGGGUUGUGGGAGAGCAAUACAAGCGUUGCGCUGCUAGGCGAAGCGGUUGAGUGCCGCACCCUAGAUGGCCGCUUAUGUAAUAGAGCCGAUCCACUAAGGGAUUAAGCAGCGGUGUAGUAUCAGAUCCCAAAGAUAGUAAGUUCUUUUUUCUUUCUUAUGGAAAAAAGUCCCUUGCAAAGGUAUCUCGGCGGGAUCAAAUAUAUGACGAGAUUGCCAGACAUUGUGAUCGUCCUUGAUCAGCAAAAAGUGUUUCGGAUAUAUUUACUUACAUUUGAUGGGUAUUUGCGUGUUCAUUUUCAAAAUUACAGUAGCACUAAAGAGAGUUCCUGCUUGAACAAAACGAAAGAUAUUAUCGAUAAAUAAAAGCACGUCUUGCUAAUUAACAUCUCGAAAAUAUUCCGCCAUAGUUAGGGCAGUCGUACUGUGCUUUCCAAAGAGCAACUCUUCUCAAAAUCUCAAAACAAAAGGUGCUGAGUUGGAAUUCGAACGAGCACUCGAAAAGAUUCUGGAGGAUCCUCAUGAUUAGGUUUUUUUCCCAGAUCGUAGCAUUAAGUAUUUCUUGGCACCAAAAUCCCCGGGUUCCGCGGGGUAAAUCCAUUAAAAAGGACAAAUUUUAGCAGAAGGUUUCGAGAACCUUUUAGAAGUUCUACCCAUAUGUGUUCUGAUCGCCAAUUCAUAUUAGAUAUACUAAAUCCAGAAGCGGUCGAUUGAAAUUGAGUCAAUCCAUAACAUCCCUUAUUCAAUCCAUAAUCAAGAAUAAUUAGGAUUUCUAAAAAAAAAGAAAAAAUAAAGGGUCCACUCAUAGGAAGAAACUUAAGGCCACUCUUCCUCCGGGCUUUCUUUCCGCACUAUUAUGGAUAGUUAAAUAAUGGGAAAAUUGGAUUCAAUUGUCAACUGGUCCUAUCGAAAGUAGGCUGCUCCAAGUAUAAUUUCCAGGCGUUCCGUAUACGAACCUCUUCAAACAGGGCUUAUUGCUAUCGAUUCGAUGAUCCCUAUAGGGCGUGGUCAGCGAGAGUUAAUUAUUGGGGACAGACAUACUGGCAAAACAGCUGGCGGACCUGCCGCGCAAGAUCUUUGGUCUUUCCCUGGAACCGAUAAAAAAAGUGGAUCGCUUCUUAUGUACUCGCCGUAGCACGAGGGCACCGGCCCAACGACCAGCAACCCAUGAAGAGACUAGGUCCAUAAACGAGGGUGGGAAACAAACGAAAUCACCACCACCGUUGUCGGCGUACCCGCAGGCAACUCCUAACCUCCACCGCCCGACAUCUGAUAGCACGACCAGACCACAGCACCUCUACGGAGGUAGAACGAUGCCUGCCGGAAGGAGUAUUUUCAUUUGCUUCCGGCUGGAGUGGCCGACUACUACGAGCGACCUGCCGCAUGCGUGCUCGUGCGUCGCAUGAUAAAGACGGCGAGGAGUCGUCCUCGGAGUAGUAAACUUUGCCGCUAAAUACACUUGGAUGGAACGUCAACACAUCCAAAGAGAAUAUCCGAUGUACUUUACAGCAGUUAGCUUGAGUGGGGCAAAAGACAUGAACGAUGGUGAAUUUGAACCGCUUCCUUUCUGCGAUCGACAGGUAGUACUAAAAAUCACGAAAAAAGACGACCGCUGGACGCAUCGGUCCAACGGGAGUCAAUAAAAUCACCAAAUCUUAAAGUCAGCUGAAGUAGAAGAAACAGGGCAAGCUGGCAUGGGGACUAUCAUACGGGACUGCCGUGGCGCCGAAUUUCCUUGCCUUGACGGACCUUUUUCUCUUCUUUUUUCACAAUGUCGGGAGAGAGAGUGUAAUUUUAACAGGUGCAGGUAAUUGCUCCGGCACAUCAUUCAUGACAUCAACGUGACGGCAUGCGGAAUCACAUGUUUAGAGCAUCUACAGCCGGACUUCCUAAACCCUCUUCGAACGCUCGGGCGGUCUGCCCCAUCACUGACCGGUCACGAUUUUUUGACCCGGACGGACGGCUCAAACGGGCCUCAAACGCUCAGGCUGACCGGCACCCCUCAUAUCCAGCCCAAGUAAGAGGCGGAUACGGGGGCGCCCGGGCACUUCCGUCACGUCGGACCUGGCCCAUGCUAGCCCACCCGACCCCACAUAUAUGCCUCUCCAUCCGCUCACCGGACCAAACCCUACCCACUUCACUUCACUCCCCUCCGCCACUCGAGCUCACCUCGACGGUUUUCGACCUUCUCCGGCAUGGCAGGCAGCGGAUAUGACUCCGACGCGUCUGAAUCCGUCUACUGGGGUGUCAUUCCGUGCAGGUUGAAGGAGAGGAUAAGGGGCGCCGCGACUCCAUAGUGUCUGCUCAAUGGGCGAUCGGGUCCUCGGGGGGUGGAUCCUCGAGGUCUAGGCAGCCGGAAGCCCUCUCCUUCCGCAUCACCGGGCGGGCAGACUAUGAGUCCCACCGGGAAUGGGCGGCCCGCCGUGGAAGGAGAGGAUAAGGGCCGCCGAGGCCCGUAUCGCGGCGGAAAUGGCAGCGGCGGAGGCGGCUGAUGCGGCGGCACGGGCGGCCACAGAGGAGGAAGCCAUUCGUGUCGGUAUUGGAAGAAAUAGCAGCGGAGGAACACACGCGCCCUCGCCUGAGAGCAGAAUCAGGCGGUCUGUGCCAUGACCGGACUGCCACCAAAGGAGGACAGCGACAGCGAGGACAGCUCUGGCGACGAGCAAAUUCGGCUCGACCCGUACUGCGUCUUGGACCGGUACUUCCGCGAGAAGGACGGCAAGGGCGCCGGGAAGGACAAGGGCAUCCGUGGAUGAACUCCACCAUAGCCAAGCAUGCCAAAUUUUGGUAGACCGAUGGCAUGUUUAGUUAGUAGUGAUGGAGUAGCCGGACAAUGUGUGUGCAUUGACGUAGUUGUACGAGUUUGUAUGGAUUUGAGAUAUGAUAAUUGAGGUGUUCGGAUAUGGAUUGCAUUAUUUAAGAGGUGCCCGGUCAGUGCCAGCGAACGCGCGGCCGGAUUUGCCCAUCACGGCUGUAGAUGCUCUUGGGACGAUAUGUUGAGCGUGCGUGCCAUAUGGUUCACCGUUUUAAAAUUGCAAAAAAGAAUUACUUGCAUGCUGCCUUCUCCUAGGCUAGCUCGCAGUGCUCGAUCGGCGACCACCCGCUGUCGCUGCUUUCCUACCGACGUCACGUUAGUGGAUCAGGAUCGAGUCAUCGGGCACUCCGACCAGCCAUGCACGCAUGCUGCAUGCAACUGGUGCAAUGAAACGGCGGGCUCGCGCCGUGCAGCUCCUCACGUACGAGUACGUGGAUGCAACGAAUGGACUUGGACUCGACUUCCGGGGAGAGACGGCCGGCGACCGGCGACGUGGCUACUUCCGGUCGGCUGAUUGACUAUAUCCAGUCCAGCAGCGUCCGCUCCAAGUUGAAGCACCACGGCGUCGACUCGAGUCGACUGGGCACGUGUGUUGCGUGGUCACUCCUCUGGACUGGAGCGGCCGACGUGCGACUUUCUUGCAACUUCCAAGUGUCACUCCGCGGCGCGCGUUUAAACACGUACGGCGUGGACUCGUGGUCGAUCGGAACGGAGUACGUGGUAAACUUCGCUACCACUACGUAUAUAUUCUCCUAAGCAAACUUGGCUGCUAAGCAUAUACAACUACGUAUACAAAGGAACAUCAACACGUCCACGUAGGAAAAACAUGCGUGGUGACUGGUCAGUACGUACUCCUUUACCACAAGUCUCUCGAACGGGCCAAGAAGAUGCAUGGACGGCGUGAUCGGUUCGAAUCCGUUACUGCUUUGUACGAUAUACCGCUUUUCAAGGAUACACUGCUUGCUACAUCGACAGGUCCUGAUAGGAGAAAUCGCGAAAAAAGCCGUCCGCUGGACAGAGUACGUACGUACAAUGACUUGGGAGUCUGCCGUCUACACUCAUCUUUUUUUUUUCGAAAAAAACUUUUAAUCUAUUCAUCUUCAAUCAUGGUAGUACAACGAACACUGGAAGUAAUAAAAAUUACAUCCAGACCCGUAGACCAUCUAGCGACGACUACAAGCACUGAAGCGAGCCGAAGGCGCGCCGCUGUCAUCGCCCCUCCCUCGCCGGAGCCGGGCAAACCUUGUUGUAGUAGACAGUCGGGAAGUCGUCGUGCUAAGGCCCCGUAGAACCAACGCACCAGAACAGCAACCGUCGCGGAUGAAGAGUGUAGAUCAAAAAGAUCCAACCUGAAAACACACGAACGGAGACGAACGACGAACAGAUCCGAGCAAAUCCACCAAAGACAGAUCCGCCGGAGACACAGCUCCACACGCCCACCAACAAUGCAAGACGCAUCACUGGAACGGGGGCUAGGCGGGGAGACCUUUAUUCCAUCUUCAGAGAGCCGCCACCGUCUCGCCUUCCUGAGCAGGACACAAACCCUAACAAAGCUCCAAAAAAGAUCUAAAAACGGAGCCCUCCCACCUGCAAGGGCCGAGAUCCACUCCGCCUCCAUGGCCAUAGGGCCACCGGAGACGGGAUGGACCGGCGCCGGCGCCGGUGGGAGGCAGAAAGCUAGGGUUUUUGGAGGCGGCGGCUAGGUGUGCGUCCUACUUUGGUUUGUUAUUUUAGUUUAAAGUUAGUUGGUUAAAAAAAGCACGAGCUGUGCUGAGAUCGUCUGCACCCAUCUUGCCUCUAUUGGUCAAGUCGCUUGCACGGGGCGGAGAUCCUGUGUUUAGUUUGUGUCCAAGAUUGCCCCACCAAAGCAUUGGCUAGCCAAAAUUUUGGUUGAGGUUUUUGUUGCUCAUGAUUUGAAUAACAUUAGCAAGAAAAAUUUGUUGAGUAGAGUUUAUUCGCAUGUCAAAAAAUUGACAACCAUUCAAACAAAGAUCAAUCUUUGAGUCAGAGUAAAUUGUAGAAAACCAUCAGUUUAAAGGCUAGGUUUGCAGAAAACACUACAAUACAUUUUUUUUCUUCAAAAAACACUACGUCUUCAGUAAUCUUUUUGCAAAAACCACUGAUCGACGGAUCUGGCUCUGUUAAGCGUGUUUAUGACAGAUGGGGCCCAUUUUCUGCUUACAUGGCGUAACUUUUUGUGCUAGAUGGGGUUUAAUCUAAAAUUACAAACUAGACCCUCAAAUUUUACACAGCCACCCCCAAAUAAAUAAAAAUAAAAAAUGCAAUUGACCACCACCGGAGCUCGUGCAAAUUGGCCUUAUCCCCCGCCCUCGACCUCAUGUUGACCACGGCCGAUCAGCUAUCCCCCACCACCUCAUGUCGUCCUUCUCCUCCCCAAUGCUCCUCCGUGGUGGAACUGCUCCUCCCCGACGAGGAUCUGGAUCGGGGGGCCCUCGUCCUCCUCUGUGGUGGACGUCGUCGUCCUGCCGCCGUGGUCCCGGCCGCGGAACUUUGUGCCGGCGUCGGAGAAGCUGUCCCCUCUGCAUCACUGGAGUGAUCCCGCCUGCUAUGUUCGGCAGCGUGCACAUCCGCGUCGGCGCGAACGCCCACGGCCGCUGCCCAGCUCCGUCGACCAUGGCCAUCGGCGAGAAGGCGGCGUGGGGCUCGCCCGUCUGGCUCCGGCCUCAGGCUCUAAAUCGAGGAUGAUGGCGGCAGCUCAAUCCAGACCGAGGACGGCGGUGGCGAGGCGGAGAAGAGGACAUGGGGCGGAGGCGGGGCGGCCCAGAGCGGUGGCGGGACGGACAAGUCGACAAGGGGUGGCAGCGGCAUGAUCCAGAUCGAUGCUCGCGGUAGGAGUGGCGGUGGCUCGAUCCAAAGAUGGAGCGGGGCCGGCGAAGAUGGGGAAUAGGGGAAGGGCGGACGCUGUAGCCCCAGACGCUCACCACGUCGAGCUGGCCAGGGCAUUCCCGCCAGAUCCGGUGCCCUGCGGGGACGGUGGAGGCCGAUGUGACCGGAUCCGGUUGGGGGCAUGACGACGGCGGCCCGGGGAUGGAGGGGCGGCGCUGAGCUCGUGUGCACGCUUGCCGGCUGCGGCAUGAUUAGAGGGCCUAGGAAGCNNNNNNNNNNNNNNNNNNNNNNNNNNNNNNNNNNNNNNNNNNNNNNNNNNNNNNNNNNNNNNNNNNNNNNNNNNNNNNNNNNNNNNNNNNNNNNNNNNNNNNNNNNNNNNNNNNNNNNNNNNNNNNNNNNNNNNNNNNNNNNNNNNNNNNNNNNNNNNNNNNNNNNNNNNNNNNNNNNNNNNGGGGCUUUUUGCAUUAAACCUAAACCGUUAAUGCCACGUAAGCAGAAAAUGGGCCCAUCUGUCAUAAACACGCUUAACAGAGCCAGAUCCGCCGAUAAGUGGUUUUUACAAAAAGAUUACACAAGACGUGGUGUUUUUUGAAAAAAAAAAUAUGUAAAGUUGUGUUUUCUGCAAACCUAGCCUUCAAAGUGAUGGUUUCAUGCAAUUUACUCCUUUGAGUCAUGAACAAAAUUUUAAUAAGAUACACUUUGACCACAAUCCAAACACACCCCUAAACUUCUCCCGGGACUUGCAGUAAUUUUCAACGCGAGGGAAUCAAACAGCAGAAGAUCGAGAGAGAGGAGAAAGAGACGCGCAAACCACUGGGCACCACCGACGUUCGUACGUAUCGUAACGUAACGUAGGCCUUAUGCCCUUAACAUCACUCACUGUUCAUUCAUCAAACGCAUGCCUCAGCUAGCCAUCAUCAAGGCUAGAUAAACUCUUUUUUGCCAGCUCUCCAAGACUCCAACCAAGCACUAAGAUGUAGUGGAGUAGUAAUUUUUCAUUCUAGCUAUGCAACCAUUCCACUCCGAUCAGUCAUGAGAUUCUGUUCUACUCUGUCUCCCUAGCCCCUACCAAAGCGCACCACGUAUCUACAACAAGACGGAGCCAAGCGGUGCAGACCACGACCACGGAGUGCAAACGCUGCGCACCAUGCAUUACCGCGGAACACACACCCCAGACCCAGAUCCAGAACCAGAGGUGGCAAGCAAAGCAAGCGUGUGAAAUGGAUCAGACCAGGCCACCAACCGUGUCGGACUCUCGGUCACCACGUAAGACGGACAUGGACUUGACUUGCCGGAGAGCGACGGCCGGCGACCGACGACGUGGCGACGACCUCGAUCCAUCGAUCACAUGGAUGACCAGGAUGGGUGCACGAAUGUCGGGAUAUGCCCUGCCCAGGAAACCGAUCGAGUGGUCAGGGCAACUCCAAUUCAACAUCCAAAUGGUCCGGCCGCGUCUGUUUAAAGUAAAUGCACAGAAAAAACGGCACAACGCGCGGGAGCAAAUCGAUCAACGUCCGUUUUUUAUCCGCUUUUGAUUCAUUUCUGGUCCAAAUUUCGGCGGCGUUUGCGUCGAAACGGAUACGCGCGGACGGACACGACGUGUGCCAUGUCCUCCCCUGGCCCGUCAGUCGGGGACCCAUGCGCCCAUUUUUCUAUUCCAUCCGCCAGUCGAGCCGCACCCCGCUUCACUCCCCUCACGUCCCUAGGCGCCAUCACCGCCAUUUUUCUCGGCCGCGUCGCUGUCCAGCACAGCCGCGCGCCCGCCCCUACCCUUGUCGCGUCCCCCGUGUUCUCGACACUCCUAGCUGUCCAACCCCGGUCGUAUGAUCUCAGCGCAUUCGGUCGCCGGAUUUGGAGCGGAUCCAGCCGGACUUGAGCGUACCCGGCUGCCGGAGACCGCGCCGUGCCAUGGACUGGCCAUGUACCGAACUGCACAGCCCCCGCAACACCCCAGGCCGCAUGUAGAUAUUGACUCCGCCUAUAAACGCUCGAAUCUACCCUGUCGUCGGUUCGCCGGCAAAUACACCAACGAUUGUCACCCAGACUCGGUGCUGGCCCAAAGGCUCGUCGACGCACCGUUGCCACUUAUAAAAUGCGACGAUUGUCCACGAAAGGUCGUACGCCGCGCGUCUACAACGCCGGAACAUCAUGGAUGGGUGUUCGUCAAGUGCAUAAACGAUGGGGUGUGUGCUAUUUUAGCUUCGGUUGUGCUACCGGAUUGGGGGCAUUUUGGAUGGCUCUUUGCUUAUACUCAAACUUUUUGUGAGGAUGGAUCCAACUUUUGGUAUUGGGAAGAAGAAUACAUCGAUCUAUUCAAAGAACGCAAUUUGAUAGAUGUUUGUGCACCUGUUGCUAGAAUAGAAGUUAGAAAUGAGACUAGAUGCGAAGAAGCAAUGUCUACUUCUUUAGAAUCGAAGAAGGAAGAAGUAUGCAAGAUCGAGAAUCCGUAGAUCAACAAUGAAGGCAUCGAAAGGAUAGUAAUCCAACUUCUGGGAGCAGUUACGAAAGUUGGACAUCUUUUAAAAUGUUUGCUUGUGGUUCUUGUUUUUUUUGUCUUGCUAUUCUAGCCAAGCUUUGGUGAAUGUACUCCAAUGUAACAAAAAAUCAUUGAUGGAAUAAUAUAGGAAAUGAGGCGGAAAAAAUGUAUGCAGACAUGAUGCGGCAAAAAUGAGACCACGCAUUGAGCGCAGAGCCGGUGCAUCGACAAAUCUGAAUGGACACUGCCACAUUGCCAUUCUCAAACGGACGAAAUUCAGACAAAACAGACGCCCGUUUAGGGUCGUGCCUUUGGAAUUGCCCUCAGGGCAAGCUUCUCACUUGUCACGUCGCGGUUUUGAUACUUUUUACCGCUGGAGGGAGCCGACCUGGACAUGUGUGGCCGGCGUUUGGAGAUGUGUAGAUGACCAUCGAGGACUCGUAAUCGAAGUACAGGACGGUGAUGAAUCCAAUCCGUUACCGAGAAGUACUUCGGUACAACCAUCCCCCAAUUAACGUAGAAGGGAUAGUAUUGUCCAUAUUAAAUUUCGUAUUUGCGUACCCGUCGUCCGUCGUAGGCCGUCCGCCCGUGUACGUCCCGCCCCGUACGCCCGCGUCGUACGCAUACCGUGGCGUUCGUUAGUUCGAUCGGGAAAGGAAAAAAAACGACACCCCAUCCCCGCCUACGAAACCCUAGCGGCAUCAACGCCGCCGUGGUCCACCGCCGUCAGGACGUCGGGCGGCGUCCGUAGUCACCCACGCGGCGUGUCGCCGGUGUCGCGUGAAACCGACACCCCAUCCCCGCCUAGGAAACCCUAGUGGCAUCAACGCCGCCGUGGUCCACCGCAGUCACGACGUCGACCCCGACGUGCCCGUCUAGUCGCGAGCACGGGCGGCGUCCGCAGUCACGCACGCGUCGUGUCGCCGGUGAAACGCCCAGCGCUCCCGCGUCAACUCCUGGUACGCGCCCUCCACGACGUGGGUAGCGGCAUCGGAUCGGCGUCGACCCCAGGCGAGGACCCCUCGACGGUGGAGAGUAGGUUCUCUGGCUCUCUUUUUUUCUUUUUGAUUUGUUCAUUGCAUUUUUUAUGCCACAAAAUGAUACCCUACUUGGCUAAAUAAGAGAGGAGAGUAGUGGCCUCUUAAUGACCUCUUAAUGAUUUUGUACAUUCAAAUUUGUAUGCAUGACACAUAGUCAUGUCACUGUUGAUGAAUUUACUGUAUUCGCGAUGAUGUUGUGGAAUGUUGGCAUUGAUCUCACACCUUAUUUGUAUGUGUAUAGAUGGAUCAAGAAACCGGAUACGCCAGUGAUGAUUCUGGUAGCGAUAAUGGAUCAUCGUCAUUGAAUGCGAACCAACCUCCCGGAGACAACUAUAUGAGUCAGGAUGAAUCGUACAGUGGUAAUGUAAGUGCCUUGAAUGUUGACCAAAACAUAUUGAAUACAAACUAGUUCUUUGACACUUACAUGUCCUUUUAAAUUUGUACAGCUACAUGGUAAUGAUGACGAUGAGGAAUAUGAUAUAGAUGAACAAUUUUAUGCAGAUGGUGUGAGCCAGGUACGUUGAAAAAAAUGUAGGGCAAUGAUUGACAUUAAAAUUGUAUUACCACUUAUUUUACUUUAAAUGUGCACAGAUAAAUGCUCAUGGUGACAAUAAGCAUAAUAAUAUAGAUGAUGACAAUGCCGAGAGCGAGGUCGAUGCAUCUUGUAGUGGGAGCGCUAGCCAAGUAAGUUCUUUACAUUAUUUAUGGUAAGUAAUAAUACAAGAACAGAUUGACAUGCAAGGUUAUAUGUCAUAUUUUGCAGGGAGGUGUUGAUGGUCCUAGCGGGAACGAUGAGCACAGCGAUGAUGAUCAGUUUGACCUUGACAUGGGUUAUGAUGAAUAUCAGCAAGAGUCACUUGAUAGGUAUUGGGAAGUGAUGGCAAAGACAUUCAGGUCAUUAGAUGAGGUGUACAUGUUCUACAACAAGCACGCGAGAGAACGUGGGUUCAGCAUCAGGAAGGACUCGCUAAAACGUUCAAAGGAUCGCGCAAGGACUGUGCGCUUGAGGAGGUAUCUCUGUUCCGCCGCAGGAAAACGACAGGCCAAGUUCUGUACCAUGGAAGGCCGGACCCGCAGGCUUAGACCGGAGAGUCGAUUCUUCUACAAAGCCCAUUUGACAGUUAAGCUUGAUAAAAAGCUUAAUCUUUGGUAUGUCAGCAGUUUCUCCGAUGAUCACAGCCACAUUCUUGCACGACCGGACGAAGUCCCUUUCCUCCGAUCUCAUAAUCAGAUCAAAGCAUUUGAGAGAGCAGAGAUCUUAGCUAUGGCAGGAGCUGGGAUAAGAAAACAUAUUAUUUUUGACAACAUGGUUAGCAGGUAUGGGUCGCAUGCAAAGUCACCGUUUCAGAGGACAAAGCCGUAUAACAUGUGCUAUAGGGAGAAGAUGAAAUUGCUUGCACAAGGUGAUGCUGAUACUGCCAUAGGAAUCAUGUUGACUAGAAAGGACAGAGAUCCAGAUUUCUUCUUUGAGCACACAGUUGACGCUGAAGGCAGGCUCCAAAACCUGUUCUGGUGUGAUUCGCAGUCACGCCGUGAUUAUCUUGACUACGGUGAUGUUGUCGUCUUCGACAGCACAUAUAAGAUGAACAGGUAUGGAAUGACGUUCAUCCCUUUUGUGGGUCUGAAUAACCACCGUUGCACUACGGUAUUCGCCUGCGCCAUUGUUUCAGACGAGACUGAGGCUACAUAUGUUUGGUUGCUUAACACGUUCUUGAAAGCUAACUGUCAGAAGAGGCCCAAAUCUGUAAUUACCGAUCGAGAUGCAGCGAUGAUAAGGGCUAUCAGGAAGGUGCUUUCUGACGUGUGGCAUCGUCUAUGUAACAUCCCAAAUUUUCAAUUUGGAAUGUUAUACAUUAGAUCAUCAUUGCAUAGCAUAUUUUAUUGCAUUUUGGCAAAUCUUCGAAAAUCCUAAGCAACUCAAGGACCCUCGGAGAGAGUUGGGGAUUUUUCCCGGUUUUCAUAUUUGAUUUUUAUCAAAUAAUAAAACGAGGAUUUUUGGUUUUAAUUAUUUUUCUCUCCGAAAAAUAUUUCAUAUUAAAUAAAUGAGAGGAGAAAAUAUGACUUCUUCAAAAUAAUUGAAAUAUUGGAGGAAAAAUAUUAAAAUCAAAUAUUUGAUUUUAUUCGGAUUUUAUUGGCAAUUUUAAUUGCAUUAGAAAAAUUGCAUGUUUUCAAAACUGCAUUUUUGGGCCAAGAAAAUGUUCAUCUCGUUCUAAUUAUUUUAAUUAGACGGUGAAAAUUUGUUUUGGCAUUUUUGAAUUUUUAUUUAUUUUUCUAUGAUUUUUUUUAGAUUCGGCGGAAUAUUUAAAAAAAAUCGCCCGAGCGCCGACUGGGCCGAAGCCCAGCCGACGGCCUAGCUCCCCGCGCGGCCCAGCCGCGAGUCGUCUCCCACCUGGAGACGGAGCCGCCGCCCGACUCCCGCACGGCCACGACGCCGCCGCCGUCGCCCCUUCCCCAAGGCAACCCCCUCCCCCUUCUUAUAUACUCCCCCCCGUCCCUCUCCUCACCCCGCCGCCCCGNNNNNNNNNNNNNNNNNNNNNNNNNNNNNNNNNNNNNNNNNNNNNNNNNNNNNNNNNNNNNNNNNNNNNNNNNNNNNNNNNNNNNNNNNNNNNNNNNNNNNNNNNNNNNNNNNNNNNNNNNNNNNNNNNNNNNNNNNNNNNNNNNNNNNNNNNNNNNNNNNNNNNNNNNNNNNNNNNNNNNNNNNNNNNNNNNNNNNNNNNNNNNNNNNNNNNNNNNNNNNNNNNNNNNNNNNNNNNNNNNNNNNNNNNNNNNNNNNNNNNNNNNNNNNNNNNNNNNNNNNNNNNNNNNNNNNNNNNNNNNNNNNNNNNNNNNNNNNNNNNNNNNNNNNNNNNNNNNNNNNNNNNNNNNNNNNNNNNNNNNNNNNNNNNNNNNNNNNNNNNNNNNNNNNNNNNNNNNNNNNNNNNNNNNNNNNNNNNNNNNNNNNNNNNNNNNNNNNNNNNNNNNNNNNNNNNNNNNNNNNNNNNNNNNNNNNNNNNNNNNNNNNNNNNNNNNNNNNNNNNNNNNNNNCGCCGCCCCUCGCCGCACCCCCGAGCCCCGCCGGAGUUGCCCCGACGAGGUAGCCGAGCCGCCGCCGCCGAGCCGGGUUUUUUUCAAAAAAACCGUUCGGUUUAUUUUUUUCGAAACCCUAGUUUUUUUUAAAUAGAUCGGUUUAUUUUUUUCGGUUUAGUUAAUUAGCGAACGUUCACCGAUCCGUUCGUUUUAACGAACGUGUUCGUCGGUUUGUCGCAACUAACGAACGUCCGUUCGUUUAACUGUUCGUCAGUUUUCUUUUUCGUCGGUUUUUCCGCGAUUAUUCCAGAUCGCGAUUUCUGAUCAGAUUUUCGUUCUGGUUUAUCUUUUCGCUCGUUUAUCGGAAUCAGGCGAUUCAAGCGCCUAGAGUUUCGUCUCGAAAUUCUCUUUCCGUUUAACCUACUCAAACAAGUUUUUGCUACUGUAAAAUUUGACCUAGAUCCAGAUUAGUAAACGAAGCUUGUUUCUUUCGCCAUUUGACUUUCGUUGCUUCGUUCGAUUUGUUUCUUUUUGCAAACCGGAGUUCUUAAGUUGAACUUUCUGGUUAGAUCUUUUAUUUGAGUUUUACCUGUGCAUUUGAUGAGUGCUUAUUGUAUGCUUGUUUGUUUGCGAUAGAGUACCCGGAGUGCGCCGCUUGCUACUUCGAAUCUCUAAGUUUCACGGAUCAUCAGCAAGGCAAGUAACACUUUGAUCAUACCUCUUUACUACCCAGUUUUAUUGCAUUAGAUCAACCCUCAAACAUUGCAUGGUUAGGAUCUAAUUAAAUUAUGGGUAUUGGGAAGUAGUUGAGGUAGUACCUAUUACAUGUUUUAUUAUCAAACCCUUGGGAGUUACUUCUACGUUUGCUUAUAUUGCUAUGCUAUGCUUGUAGACGUGGAUUGGGUUUGAGUGUAUCCAUGACAGAUGUGAGACUGUUAAUAUAUGGUUAAACUUAAGGUGGCAACUAAAACUCACAUCUGUGUGGAUUGAGGUACCUGGGUAUUCCAGGAUUGCCUGUUUUUCUAAGGACCGCCACCCAGGCUCAAAGGGAUCAUGAGAUUAUUCAUGCUAGAAACUUCCGUGUGCAGCCACAAGCUAUUAUGGGCUCUAGCAUAGUUGAUUAAGUUGUGUGAGCUCUUGAAGAGGUAGACUAGCAGAUGUAGGGGUUGUAGGUGGUACUGUCUACCCGGAGUAGAGAGUUAACGCUUCUGAAAGACUGUGUCUCGGUCAUCCGUUUCUCAAACAUCAUGUAGUGCGAGAACCAAGCAGAGGCGAUCGAGUCUUGUGGGGAAAAGUGCACAAACCUCUGCAGAGUGUACAAUCUAAUCAUAGUUAGCCGUGUCCCCGGUUAUGGACAUCUUGAGUAUCUAGUACUUGGAUUAUCAUGUGAAUCUCAUCAUCAUGUUACUUUAAUUAAUUUUGUUGGGUUAAUGAUGAUACUUAAUUGGGAUUGAGAAUGCUGUCAACCAUUCUCAAUGUUUAAUAACCACCAUGAUAGUUAAAUAAAAUUUAUUCCUUUGCAGUAGGGAAAAAUUGGCUUUUCGCGAAACUGUAACCAUAGAGCCUUCUACCAGCCAUAUAUGCAUGUAGUAUAGCAUUAUUAUGUUCAUUACUCUCUAUGUGUUACAUUGCCAGCAUAUUCCAUAUGCUGACCCGUUUCGGGCUGCAACGUUUCAUGUUGCAGACUUUUCAUACGACGAGUAAGGUGCCUUAGGUCGUGGUCUUAUACUCAGUGAUGCCGUUGGAGUUGAUGGACUCACUUAUCUUCCAAGUCUUCCGCUGUUAUCGUAUUUAGAUGGCCUUAAGCCAUAUUUAUCAUACUUAUUCUCUUUUAAGAUACUCAUUGUAAUAAGUGUGUGAUUGCUAGUCUGUUAUAAAUCCUCCAUUUGUACUGUGCGUGUCAGCAUUACUGAUCCAGGGAUGACACUGGUGCACAGCAGCACAGACUGUUUGAGGUCUGGUCGCUACAAAGGUGGUAUCAGAGCACACGCUGACUGUAGGACACGACCACUAAGCUUAAACCCUAGAACACUACUCUCUUCUCAUUUCUGACUCCUCUCCACUUUCUACUCUUUUAGGAAUGGCGGAUGCAAGGAACAAGUUCAUGCAACCGGAUGAAGAGACACCUUUUGGACGACACUUGAAGGAAGUCACUAAGUACCUGAACAUCGGAAUACCAAGCUUCACCGGAACCUACAACGCCAUACUACCAGAAGAGGAGCGCUGGAAGAUUCAAGUUCAAGUUCCAGGAAGGACGUUCACGCCAGUCACUGAGCCUAUAGAGUUUUCCUUUGAUGCACCAACCUGGAGUUUAGGGAAGAGCAUGGCAGCCCACAUCUCUAUGGGACGCAUUGGAGAAGUCUACCACAAGGAGCUUAAGGAUACUAUUUAUUAGAUUUUUGGACGCCGAGAUGACCAAUGGGAGAUGAUCAGCACCAAGAAGGAUGGAUCAAUUGUAGCUUUCAUCCAGGAGCAAAACCAACACAUUCGUCGCCAGGAGAACCAGAUGUGCGCAGACAUGAUAGAACUGAAGAAGGCAUUGACCAAGAUCACGGAGUUGGAGGAAGAACUCAAGGCUACACGCAAGGAUUAUAUGGAAUAAAUCGUCGCACUAGUGAGGAAGAACGGCGACCUGACACAGAAGAUCGGAGUUUUCAUGGGAGACCCAGCUCCAGGAGAAGAAGAUGACGAUUCUACUUGCCCGAAUAACUACAUCAUCAUCGACGACACCGACUCAGACCCCAGUGAAGAUGAUUUUGUUGAUGAAGCUGGAGCAGAUAUCAUGGAGUCUUCGACUGAUCAAAAUUUCUAGUAGACCACCAUAUCAGUAGUAGUAUUUCUCCAUGUAAAUAGUAUAGUCCGAGCACUUUUGUAACGAUAGUUAGAUCGAUUGUUAGCCUUGUUUGAAUUGAUUGAGUGAUAUUGAUUGUGUUUGUCUCAUGAGCAUAUGGGUAGUGUUUCCUCUCUAGACCUCAUUCUAUUCUAAAUUCUGAUCUUUUCUAAACCUAUCAGAUGCCUCCGAGACGCGACACCGGAUUUGUUUUCCCACCGGAGAUCACUCAGUUGAUUCAGCAGCAGAAUGCCCUGAUGCAAGUGUUAGUACAGAACCAAGGCAACAACAACAACAACAACAACAACCCACCACCACCACCUGUUGAUCACUUAGCCCGUUUCUUGAGGCUAAAUCCGCCAGUGUUUUCCAGCAGCACCGAGCCGAUUGUUGCCGAUGAUUGGCUCCGCAAAGUUGGAAGGGAGUUGACCACUGCAGGAUGCACAGAUGCGGAGAGAGUGGGUUUUGCCGCACAUCAGCUUGAUGGACCCGCAGCAUCAUGGUGGGAGAAUUACACAGCCACACACCCUAUUGACACUGUCGCAUGGGACCAGUUUUAGCAAGCUUUCCGUACUGCCCAUGUUUCAGCAGGAGCUAUGGCUAUGAAGAAGCGUGAGUUUCGCAACCUAAGCCAAGGAGGACGCACCGUAGGCCAGUAUGUGGAGGACUUUAGUAAGUUAGCACGUUAUGCUCCAGAUGACGUUGCUACAGAUGCAGCCAAGCAGGAGAAGUUUCUGGAAGGACUGAAUGAUGAGCUGAGCAUGCAGCUGAUGGUAGCAACCUUCAACAACUACCAGGAGUUGGUAGAUAGAGCACUCAUGAUUGAAGGGAAGCAACAGCAGAUUGAAAACCGUAAGAGGAAGUAUGGACAAGGGAAGUACAAUUCUGGAGCUCAGUAGAAGCCACGUUUUACCCCGAAAUCGGGAGGACAGUUUCAGCAUACCCAUGGAGAAGGUAGUUCGCACAACCAUAGUGGACCCAAGAAUGGUAAUGGGAAUGGAGGAAGCAACGGGCAGAACCGUAAUAACCCAUCUACCCCAGCCAAGAGAGAUCUAAGUCACGUUACUUGUUACAAGUGCCAGAAGACUGGACAUUAUGCAACUGAAUGCCCUGAAGCCCAGAAUGGAAAUGGAAAUGGAAGCUCUGGGAAGAAGCCGAACCCUUUCAACAAAGGACAUGUGAACCACGUUAGCGUGGAGGAGGUAGAAGCUCAGCCAGAUGUAGUAAUAGGUAAGUUUUGGGUUAAGUCAUUUACUGCACUCGUUCUUUUUGAUACUGGUGCAUCGCAUUCAUACAUAUCAAGGGGAUUUGUGGAUAAGUAUAAACUGCCAACCCAAGCCCUUAGGUCACCCAUGUUAGUAACCUCGCCAGGAGCAGAGUAUAUGGCUAGUUAAUGGUGUGAUCGGUUACCAUUAAGGAUUGGUAACUACGUGUUUCCCUCGGACCUAAUAGUACUGGAAUCGCAAGGAUUGGAUGUGAUAUUAGGCAUGGAUUGGUUAUCAAAGUAUGGAGGGAACAUUGAGUGCGCCAGUAAGGCGAUUUUGCUUACCACCCCAGAAGGAAGAAGGAUUAAGUAUGUAUCCCGGCAUAUGCCGAAGAGGACUCAGGUGAAUUCCUUAUCAGGAGUUGUACAGGAGGAAGUACCAGUGGUGAAGGAUUUCCCUGACGUAUUUCCAGAAGAGUUGCCAGGCAUGCCACCGAAUAGAGACAUUGAGUUUCUGAUUGAACUUUUGCCACGCACAGGACCAAUAUCUAAGAGACCGUACAGGAUGCCCGCCAAAGAUUUGGAGGAAAUUAAGAAGCAGAUGAAGGAGUUACUGGAUAAAGGCUAUAUUCGCCCAAGUUCGUCACCUUGGGGAUCACCCGUACUUCUAGUGGAGAAGAAAGAUGGAUCGUUGAGGAUGGUUGUUGAUUAUCGUGGAUUGAAUGAAGUGACCAUCAAAAAUAAGUACCCACUGCCGAUGAUCAAUGAUUUGUUUGACUGCUUACAAGGAGCUAAGGUAUUUUCUAAGAUCGAUCUACGAUCAGGAUACUAUCAGUUGAAGAUUCGAGAGCAGGAUAUACCUAAGACGGCUUUUACCACCAGGUAUGGGUUGUAUGAGUAUACCGUUAUGUCAUUUGGUCUGACUAACGCACCUGCCUAUUUCAUGAACCUGAUGAACAAAGUGUUUAUGGAGCUUUUGGAUAAGUUCGUCGUGGUGUUCAUUGAUGAUAUUUUGGUCUACUCAAAGAACGAAGAGGAGCAUAAGGAGCAUUUGCGUUUGGUACUUGAGAAGCUCAGAGAACAUCAGUUAUACGCCAAGUUCAGCAAAUGUGAGUUUUGGCUGGAGGAAGUUGGAUUCCUCGGACAUGUUAUAUCCGGAGAAGGAAUAACAGUAGACCCCGCCAAAGUUGACACAGUAACAAGCUGGGAAGCACCCACGUCAGUUGGAGAGAUCCGGAGUUUUCUUGGACUUGCUGGAUACUACCGGAGGUUCAUUGAGAAUUGCUCGAAGAUUGCUAAACCCAUGACAGAGCUGUUAAAGUAGGACACCAAGUUCAAUUGGACUGAGGAUUGUGAAGCUAGUUUUCAGGAGUUGAAGAAACGUUUGGUUACAUCACCAGUGUUGAUUCUGCCAGACCAACGCAAGGAUUAUGAAGUUUAUUGCGACGCUUCUCGUCGAGCACUUGGAGCAGUGCUUAUCCAGGAAGGAAGAGUUGUUUCAUAUGCUUCACGGCAACUUAAACCCCAUGAGAAGAAUUAUGCCACGCAUGAUCUGGAGUUAGCAACCGUAGUGCAUGCGUUGAAGACAUGGAUACAUUUUCUCAUCGGAAAUCACUGUGAGGUGUACACGGAUCACAAGAGUUUGAAAUACAUUUUCAUGCAAAAGGAGUUGAAUCUCAGGCAAAGGAGAUGGUUGGAACUCAUAAAGGAUUAUGAUAUGAGAUUGCAUUAUCACCCCGGAAAGGCUAACGUAGUAGCAGACGCGUUGAGCCGCAAGAGUCAUGUCAACACACUCAUGACCGGAGAGUUACCGAAAGUAUUAGCCGAGGAUCUUCGCGAGCUAUGUUUGGAGAUAGUACCGAGAGGUUACGUAGCAACGUUGGAGAUUCAGUCUACCUUGAUGGAAAAGAUCAGAGGAUCUCAGAAGACAGACAAGGAGAUUGACGAGAUAAAGGAAAGAAUGAGUAAAGGAAAAGCCAAGGGAUUUCGUGAGGAUGAGCACGAUACCUUAUGGUUUGAGGACCGCGUUUAUGUGCCUAAUGAUCCGGAGAUCAGGAAGUUGAUCUUGCAAGAGGCCCAUGAUUCACCGUAUUCGAUUCACCCAGGAAAUACCAAGAUGUAUUUGGAUUUGAAGGAUACUUUCUAGUGGACCGGAAUGAAGAAGGAUAGCGGAGUAUGUAGCAGUUUGUGAUGUAUGUCAGAGAGUAAAGGCAGAGCAUCAGAAGCCAGCAGGAUUGCUACAGCCAUUGCCGAUACCCGAAUGGAAGUGGGAUAAACUAGGCAUGGAUUUUAUCACGGGAUUGCCCAGGACUCGUUCAGGCUAUGACUCAAUAUGGGUUGUAGUCGAUCGUUUGACGAAAGUAGCUUAUUUCAUCCCAGUGAAGACCACUUACACCAGUGCUAAGUUGGCAAAGAUAUACAUGACCAGAAUCGUAUGUUUGCAUGGAGUUCCGAGGACCAUUGUAUCAGAUAGAGGAACCUAGUUUACCUCGAAGUUUUGGAAUCAGUUACAUGAAACUUUGGGAACCAGGCUAGAAUUCAGUACAGCUUUUCACCCACAGACAGAUGGACAGACCGAGAGAGUCAAUCAGAUUUUGGAAGAUAUGCUGAGAGCUUGUGCGCUAGAUUAUGGAUCUAGUUGGGACGACAAUUUGCCAUAUGCAGAGUUUUCUUACAACAACAGUUAUCAAACCAGUUUGAAGAUGGCCCCUUUCGAAGCUUUGUACGGAAGGAGGUGUAGGACACCAUUGUUAUGGGACGAAGUUGGAGACCGCCAGUCGUUUGGACCAGACUUGAUUAAGGAAUCAGAACAGAAAGUGAAGUUGAUUCGCGAUAGGCUCAAGGUAGCCCAGUCCAGGAAGAAGAGUUAUGCGGAUUUUAAACGCAAGGAGACAGUUUACGAAGUCGGAGACAGAGUUUACCUACGAGUAUCACCACUUCGAGGAGUGAAGCGCUUUGGAGUUAAGGGAAAGUUAGCGCCACGUUUUGUAGGACCAUACAGAGUUUUGGAGCGUAUGGGAGAAGUUGCUUACAAGCUGGAAUUACCUGAAGGAUUGUCAGGAGUUCAUGAUGUAUUUCACGUUUCCCAGUUGAAGAAGUGCCACGCAGAGAUGGCUGAGAUACCACUGGGAGAUACAGUGCCACUGGAAGCGAUUCAGUUGGAAAGUGAUUUGACCUAUGAGGAGAAACCAGUUAAGAUUCUUGAGUAUGCCAGCCGAGUCACCCGCAGCAAGGUUAUCAAGUUCUGCAAAGUUCAGUGGAGUCACCACACUGAAGAUGAAGCCACCUGGGAGCGAGAGGAAGAUCUAUGAAAGAACCACUCUCACCUAUUUUCUAGCCAACCCGAAUCUCGAGGGCAAGAUUCAUCUUAAGGGGGUUGUUUGUAGCAUCCCAAAUUUUUAAUUUGGAAUGUUAUACAUUAGAUCAUCAUUGCAUAGCAUAUUUUAUUGCAUUUUGGCAAAUCCUCGAAAAUCCUAAGCAACUCAAGGACCCUCGGAGAGAGUUGGGGAUUUUUCCCGGUUUUCAUAUUUGAUUUUUAUCAAAUAAUAAAACGAGGAUUUUUGGUUUUAAUUAUUUUUCUCUCCGAAAAAUAUUUCAUAUUAAAUAAAUGAGAGGAGAAAAUAUGACUUCUCCAAAAUAAUUGAAAUAUUGGAGGAAAAAUAUUAAAAUCAAAUAUUUGAUUUUAUUCGGAUUUUAUUGGCAAUUUUAAUUGCAUUAGAAAAAUUGCAUGUUUUCAAAACUGCAUUUUUGGGCCAAGAAAAUGUUCAUCUCGUUCUAAUUAUUUUAAUUAGACGGUGAAAAUUUGUUUUGGCAUUUUUGAAUUUUUAUUUAUUUUUCUACGAUUUUUUUUAAAUUCGGCGGAAUAUUUAAAAAAAAAUCGCCCGAGCGCCGACCGGGCCGAAGCCCCGCCGACGGCCCAGCUCCCNNNNNNNNNNNNNNNNNNNNNNNNNNNNNNNNNNNNNNNNNNNNNNNNNNNNNNNNNNNNNNNNNNNNNNNNNNNNNNNNNNNNNNNNNNNNNNNNNNNNNNNNNNNNNNNNNNNNNNNNNNNNNNNNNNNNNNNNNNNNNNNNNNNNNNNNNNNNNNNNNNNNNNNNNNNNNNNNNNNNNNNNNNNNNNNNNNNNNNNNNNNNNNNNNNNNNNNNNNNNNNNNNNNNNNNNNNNNNNNNNNNNNNNNNNNNNNNNNNNNNNNNNNNNNNNNNNNNNNNNNNNNNNNNNNNNNNNNNNNNNNNNNNNNNNNNNNNNNNNNNNNNNNNNNNNNNNNNNNNNNNNNNNNNNNNNNNNNNNNNNNNNNNNNNNNNNNNNNNNNNNNNNNNNNNNNNNNNNNNNNNNNNNNNNNNNNNNNNNNNNNNNNNNNNNNNNNNNNNNNGUCGCCCCGAGCCCCGCCGCCCCUCGCCGCACCCCGAGCCCCGCCGGAGCCCGUCCCGAGCCCCGCCGGAGUUGCCCCGACGAGGUAGCCGAGCCGCCGCCGCCGAGCCGGUUUUUUUUGUUCGGUUUAUUUUUUUCGAAACCCUAGUUUUUUUAAAUAGAUCGGUUUAUUUUUUUGGUUUAGUUAAUUAGUGAACAUUCACCGAUCCAUUCGUUUUAACGAACGUGUUCGUCGGUUUGUCGCAGCUAACGAACGUCCUUUCGUUUAACUGUUCGUCGGUUUUUCCGCGAUUAUUCCAGAUCGCGAUUUCUGAUCAGAUUUUCGUUCUGGUUUAUCUUUUCGCUCGUUUAUCGGAAUCAGGCGAUUCAAGCGCCUAGAGUUUCGUCUCGAAAUUCUCUUCCCGUUUAACCUACUCAAACAAGUUUUUGCUACUGUAAAAUUUGACCUAGAUCCAGAUUAGUAAACGAAGCUUGUUUCUUUCGCCGUUUGACUUUCGUUGCUUCGUUCGAUUUGUUUCUUUUUGCAAACCGGAGUUCUUAAGUUGAACUUUCUGGUUAGAUCUUUUAUUUGAGUUUUACCUAUGCAUUUGAUGAGUGCUUAUUGUAUGCUUGUUUGUUUGCGAUAGAGUACCCGGAGUGCGCCGCUUGCUACUUCGAAUCUCUAAGUUUCACGGAUCAUCAGCAAGGCAACUAACACUUUGAUCAUACCUCUUUACUACCCAGUUUUAUUGCAUUAGAUUAACCCUCAAACAUUGCAUGGUUAGGAUCUAAUUAAAUUGUGGGUAUUGGGAAGUAGUUGAGGUAGUACCUAUUACCUGUUUUAUUAUCAAACCCUUGGGAGUUACUUCUACGUUUGCUUAUAUUGCUAUGUUAUGCUAGUAGACGUGGAUUGGGUUUGAGUGUAUCCAUGACAGAUGUGAGACUGUUAAUAUAUGGUUAAACUUAAGGUGGCAACUAAAACUCACAUCUGGGUGGACUGAGGUACCUGGGUAUUCCAGGAUUGCCUGUUUUUCUAAGGACCGCCACCCAGGCUCAAAGGGAUCAUAAGAUUAUUCAUGAUAGAAACUUCCGUGUGCAGCCACAAGCUAUUAUGGGCUCUAGCAUAGUUGAUUAAGUUGUGUGAGCUCUUGAAGAGGUAGACUAGUAGAUGUAGGGGUUGUAGGUGGUACUGUCUACCCGGAGUAGAGAGUUAACGCUUCUGAAAGACUGUGUCUCGGUCAUCCGUUUCUCAAACAUCAUGUAGUGCGAGAAUCAAGCGGAGGCGAUCGAGUCUUGUGGGGAAAAGUGCACAAACCUCUGCAGAGUGUACAAUCUAAUCAUGGUUAGCCGUGUCCCCGGUUAUGGACAUCUUGAGUAUCUAGUACUUGGAUUAUCAUAUGAAUCUCAUCAUCAUGUUACUUUAAUUAAUUUUGUUGGGUUAAUGAUGAUACUUAAUUGGGAUUGAGAAUGCUGUCAACCAUUCUCAAUGUUUAACAACCACCAUGAUAGUUAAAUAAAAUUUAUUCCUUUGCAGUAGGGAAAAAUUGGCUUUUCGCAAAACUGUAACCAUAGAGCCUUCUACCAGCCAUAUAUGCAUGUAGUAUAGCAUUAUUAUGUUCAUUACUCUCUCUGUGUUACAUUACCAGCAUAUUCCAUGUGCUGACCCGUUUCGGGCUGCAACCUUUCAUGUUGCAGACUUUUCAGACGACGAGUAAGGUGCCUUAGGUCGUGGUCUUAUACUCAGUGAUGCUGUUGGAGUUGAUGGACUCACUUAUCUUCCAAGUCUUCCGCUGUUAUCGUAUUUAGAUGGCCUUAAGCCAUAUUUAUCAUACUUAUUCUCUUUUGAGAUACUCGUUGUAAUAAGUGUGUGAUUGCUACUCUGUUAUAAAUCCUCCAUUUGUACUGUGCGUGUCAGCAUUACUGAUACAGGGAUGACACUGGUGCACAGCAGCACAGACUGUUUGAGGUCUGGUCGCUACAGUCUAUGUUCAUGGCAUAUUGAAAAGAAUAUGCAGAAACACCUCAACCACAAGUCAUUGAAGGAGUUCAGGGCAUUACUGUACUAUGCCACUACACAUAAAGUUUUUGAGGAGAGAUGGGCCGCGUUUGUGCGCAAAUGGCAGACGGAGAGAACGAAAACAUGGAUCCAUAGGAUGUACAGGAAGAGGACGCUUUGGGCUGCAUCAUAUUUGUCUGGUGGGUUUUUUCUUGGUAUGCGCAGUAAUCAGAGGAGUGAGAGUCUGAACUCCAGCCUGCACCUUCAUCUUGACUAUGGUAUGACGAUCAUUGACAUGAUUGUACACUACGAGAAUUGUAUUGUUCGCCUCCGUGAGAAUGAAGCUUAUGAUGACUACACGGCCUCACAGACUGUCCCAGUAACAGUGAUUGAGUGUACCUUUGAGUCGUAUGCUGCCAAAGCAUUCACGCAUGCAAACUUUUAUAUGUUGCAACAAGAUAUGAAGAAGGUACAGGAGCUUGAGGUAAUUGAUAGACUGACAGGGACCGAUAGUCAGAGAUUUGUGGUUGCGUGGAAGAAUAACAGGGAUCACAUAUUUAAUGUGGACUAUACGCCAGGUAACUCGGCAGAAACUAUAAAGUGCAGUUGCCGAAGUAUGACUCGCAAAGGGCUUCCUUGCAAGCAUAUUCUUCAUGUUUUGAAUGCACUGAACUUACCUGUGAUACCCAAGUGUUGUGUCCUGCGAAGAUUCUCAAAAAAAGCACGAGCUGGACUGCCCGUGAAGCGCACCAGUGAUCUGUUUGCGUGGGGUUGGUCGAGUGCUGAGGACAGAGCUAGAUAUAGUGAGUUGACCAUCAAAUCUGCAGAAGCAUCUCAUCUCGCAUGUAGUAAUCCAUUCUUAUUCGACAAGUUGAUGGCAGCUCUGGAUGAUAUUAUAGCGAAUAAGGACGUUCAGGGGAAUGAAGAUGAUAGUCAGCGAAGCUUCGUGAAUGAUAAUCUGUUUGAGCCUAACCGAGAUCAUAUUCUAGUUCGUGAUCCAGUAAAGGUUUCCACCAAGGGCGCACCUAAGCAAAACAGUAGAGGUCGCGGUAAGGGUGGCCCAGAUGUGACAAAAAAUGAGAGACCUAAAGCAG
This 27072-nucleotide long non-coding RNA is filed under the name Triticum aestivum (bread wheat). Its description in RNAcentral is "long non-coding RNA (TAES_LNC019705)". The stretch from base 2343 to 2687 matches the Rfam family "Bacterial large subunit ribosomal RNA", at positions 1309 to 2039 of the family's 2925-position model. Lineage: Eukaryota; Viridiplantae; Streptophyta; Magnoliopsida; Poales; Poaceae. The record is from RNAcentral.